AUGUUUUUGUUUAUUGUUAUCAUCAUCCAAAAAUUAUCGAAUGAAAAUUUAAUGGCCAAAUCGAUCGAUCCUGGUGUUUUUAUUAUGGUUAUUUUCGCAACUAAACAAAUGGGUCAGAUGAUGAUGGUGUUGAAAAAUCCAAAUAAAACCCAAAUCUAUCAGUAAGUGAUCAAGUUGCUAGAUAUAUUGGACCAUCAUUGUCAUAUUCGUUCGGUCCUGUAUUUUCCGGGUUUGAAUCAUUCGUACAUUUUUACAACGAAAGGUGUCAACAUCAAAAUCAUAAUGGGGCCAUAAAAUGUACACACACACACACACCGUUUCAUCUAAUAUUUGAUCAUUUCCAAAAGUUUUCUUGGAUGCUAAUUGUGUAUGUUUCCAGUUUCAACAUCUAUUAAAAACUGCCCACGUCUUGUUACUUCUAUUUUUAUUUUCUCAAUCCAUGGCCAUCAUUGUCACAAUCUAUCAUCAUCAUCAUUGAAUGAGCAUACAUUUUCAGUAACAAGCUACUGGGUAAAGAAGAAAAAAAAUUCAUAUCAUUACUAUUCAAUACUAUUAUAUGUCAGAUCAAAUAAAUCAAUCAAAAAUUAGUCAAUUCAAAUGUCCAGGAAGUAAUUUCUAGCAUCAGAUGGCCAACAUAUUGAUGUCAUAAUUUUUUGCUCGACUAAUCAACUCACAAUCAAUCAUCAUCAUCAACAUUAAUUAAUUGGCCUUGUAUAUAUAUGGGUUGUGUAAUGUCAUUUUUAGUAUCAUCAACUAAGUCAUUUGCUUCUGCAUAUUAUCAGUAUCAUUAUUCAUUAUUUCGUUUAUCUUUCUCAGAACAGAUCACAUCAUCAUAAUUGAAUGAAUGGAAUGACUCAGUCAGUCAUAUCUUUCAUUGAUGAUGAUGAUUCAAUUUGACAUUGGAAAAUGAUAAAUUAAAAGUGAUUAUUGUGCCAUUCUUACACACACCUCAAUGACCAUUAUUUCAAUUUGGAUUUCCGACAAUGAAAUGAAUCAUUCAAAUUCACUUUAUGUCCGGCUCAAUGUUUUUUUAGUCGCAUUUAGCUUCCCAUUUUUAAAUUCAAUUCACUUCUCCCACACAACCACUCAUUUGCUAUCGAAAAGUAACACAAAUUUAUUGUGUUCCAUUUAUAGAAAAAAUCAGUUCGUAUCGUAUACGAGGAGGAAGAAAUGAAGAAAAUUUAACAACAACAACAACAAAUAUUCAUAAUUUAAUUUCAUCGUUUAUUAAUAUCAUUCUAAUACAAUGCCAAGAAUAUCGUCGUUUGUAUUGGAAUCGAAUCUAAAACCUCCUUCAAAUAUUGAUCAUCAUCAUCAUCAUCAUUUUUAUUCGAAAUGAAUUUCACAACUACAAAUAAUUAUCACCAUCAAUUCAAUUCAAUUCCAUUCCAUUGAAUGGAGAAAAAAGGUGCAUCAUUGUUUCCAACAAGGUAUUUUGUUUGAAUGUGGCCAAUAUAUGCUGUUGAUGAUAAUCGAAAAUCAUAAUCAUAAUCAUCAUCCUUAUAGUUAUAUCAUCAUCAUCGACAGACGACAAUCGAAACAAAUGUUGAUGACCUUCAUGUAUUUGUGCUCACACACAAUAAAGUUAUCAUUUCAAUUGAUCAUAAGGAUCGCCUACGCCGCUCUACUAUUCAACAUUUAUUAUGUCAUCAAUGGUGAAUUACUAGUGGUUUUUUUUAAAAUUUCACACUUGAAUCCAAAAAAAUUACGUACGUCUGUGAAUUUUGGACCAUCGAUUGAAAAGACAAUUGUCUAAUCAUCUAAUCAUCAUCAAUGGUCAUGAUGAACUUUCAUUAUCAUUAUCGAACAUCUAUCGCAGUUAAGAACACGUGCUGUUGAACUUGA
Non-coding RNA from Dermatophagoides farinae (American house dust mite), 1845 nucleotides. The record is from RefSeq and is a predicted model, not a curated record. NCBI's taxonomy places the organism in Eukaryota, Metazoa, Arthropoda, Arachnida, Sarcoptiformes, Pyroglyphidae.